RNAcentral lists this transfer RNA (86 nucleotides) under Bacteroidetes bacterium ADurb.Bin174. RNAcentral's name for it is "tRNA-Leu". It matches the Rfam family "tRNA". From Rfam's summary of the family: Transfer RNA (tRNA) molecules are approximately 80 nucleotides in length. Their secondary structure includes four short double-helical elements and three loops (D, anti-codon, and T loops). Further hydrogen bonds mediate the characteristic L-shaped molecular structure. tRNAs have two regions of fundamental functional importance: the anti-codon, which is responsible for specific mRNA codon recognition, and the 3' end, to which the tRNAs corresponding amino acid is attached (by aminoacyl-tRNA synthetases). tRNAs cope with the degeneracy of the genetic code in two manners: having more than one tRNA (with a specific anti-codon) for a particular amino acid; and 'wobble' base-pairing, i.e. permitting non-standard base-pairing at the 3rd anti-codon position. The record is from RNAcentral. Lineage: Bacteria; Pseudomonadati; Bacteroidota.
GGGGGUAUGACGUAAUCGGUAGCCGUAACUGACUUAAAAUCAGUUGUCCAUAGGACGUCCCGGUUCAAAUCCGGGUACCCCCACCA